GCUGGGUGUGGUGGUGCAUGCCUGUAUUCCCAGCCACUUGGAGGCUGAGGUAGGAGGAUCACAAGUUCAGGAUCAGCCUCAUCAAUUUAGCAAAAUCCUAAGCAAUUUAGGAAAACCCUGUCUCAA
This 126-nucleotide small RNA is filed under the name Marmota monax (woodchuck). The record is from RNAcentral. Lineage: Eukaryota; Metazoa; Chordata; Mammalia; Rodentia; Sciuridae.